AAGAAGAGAGAGUGUA
This 16-nucleotide small RNA is filed under the name Arabidopsis thaliana (thale cress). RNAcentral's name for it is "ATSL169430". Lineage: Eukaryota; Viridiplantae; Streptophyta; Magnoliopsida; Brassicales; Brassicaceae. The record is from RNAcentral.